Molecule: long non-coding RNA, 712 nt
Organism: Homo sapiens (human)
Lineage: Eukaryota; Metazoa; Chordata; Mammalia; Primates; Hominidae
Exons: 3
Source: RefSeq, a predicted model, not a curated record
GCACAAUCUCUACUCUCAAAAUAGGGCUCUGAAGUCUAGGAACAAGUCCUCAGCUCCUGAAAUGACAGAGGAGGAAAAGAUGCAGAUGCCUCCAGCUAUUACGAGUCCCAUGGCAACAAGGAUCAGAGGCAGAGCUGCUUUCCAUGCCGUGAACUGGGAGCUUCUGGAGAAGGUAGCUGGAGAAGAUUCCCAGAAGCCAGGAAUAUUGGGAACCAUGGGACACCAUGCCAAGAGUGAGCCCUCAUGAAAACUGCACUCUGGGUGCUGACGGCAUUGUCAACGGAAGUUCAUCAAACAUGGUGGACGUUCCUUCUGGUGUAGGGUUUUUAUGCUGGGGGAAGGUGUGUGAGGGGGUUAGGGGAAGAUGGGAACUCUCUGGACUUUCUACUAAAAUUUGUUGUGACCCUAAAACUGCUUUAAAAAAUAAAGCCUAUUUUAAAAAACCCUAAAAACUGUUGAUAUUAGGAUGUACAUUUCUUGUUCCCCCAAAGGCAAGGCUCUCCCCAGGGUCCCUGCACCCUUAUCUCUGUUCCUCUUCAGUAAUCAGCACCCAAACAGUGCACCUCCUGGGAUGCCCCAGCCAUGUGAGGACAGGGACCUGCCACCCAUCCCUGCUUGCCACAAACCCCACAGCUGUCUCUUAAUGUCCCCAGUGUCCAGGGCCACGGAAUCCUGUGCUCAGUGAUUGUGAGGACAGAACUGAAUAGAGGAC